GAUGAACGCUGGCGGCGUGCUUAACACAUGCAAGUCGAACGGAAAGACCACAGCUUGCUGUGGUACUCGAGUGGCGAACGGGUGCGUAACACGUGGGUGAUCUGCCCUGUACUUCGGGAUAAGCUUAGGAAACUGGGCCUAAUACCGGAUCGGAAUCACAUGAGGGUGUGAGGCUGGAAAGCUUUUGCGGUAUGGGAUGGGCUCGCGGCCUAUCAGCAUGUUGGUGGGGGAAUGGCAUACCAAGGCGUAGGCGGGUAGCCGGCAUGAGAGGGGGUACAGGCACCAUGGUACUGAGAGAGGGCGCAGACUGCUACGGGGGGCAGUAGGGGGGAAUAUUGCACAAUGGGCGCAAGUCUGAGGCAGCGGCGCCGCGUGGGGGAUGACGGCCUUCGGGUUAUAAACUCCUUUCGUCUGGGACGAAGCGAAAGUGACGGUACCUGGAGAAGAAGCACCGGCUAACUACGUG
This 466-nucleotide ribosomal RNA is filed under the name uncultured bacterium. RNAcentral's name for it is "partial 16S ribosomal RNA". It matches the Rfam family "Bacterial small subunit ribosomal RNA", at positions 28 to 507 of the family's 1533-position model. The record is from RNAcentral.